This 428-nucleotide long non-coding RNA is filed under the name Setaria viridis. Its description in RNAcentral is "long non-coding RNA (SVIR_LNC008913)". The record is from RNAcentral. Lineage: Eukaryota; Viridiplantae; Streptophyta; Magnoliopsida; Poales; Poaceae.
UCCACGUUAAUGGAGCUCAUCAAGUGGCCCUCUCACUCGGAGAAUCCAGCGGUGACUUACGUCCUCUGUCCCCUAGGCGCUGACCUUUGAUGAAUAAUAAUUAUGUAGUAACGAAUAAGUCUAUUUUGACCGCACCUCCAGUUGUGUUUAUCUAAUUUCUGCCUCUAACUUCAUAAAUAUCAAGCUAUCGGAACCAGCUAAUAAUUUAAGUGGCUAUUCGGCUGAUUGAACGACAGUUGUUUCCUUAUCUUUUAAACAUAAUAUCCACCAUUUAACUUCUAUCUUACUAUAUUUCUCUACAUAAUAUCGCCAUUGUUAACAACUUAAGCAGCAUGGCAACAUGGGGGUGCUUUCCUUCCUCCGUAUUUUCCUCUCCCUCCUUCUCUUCUUCCUCCUCCCUCUUUUCUUCCUCGUCUCCUUGAUCAGGG